This 480-nucleotide ribosomal RNA is filed under the name uncultured bacterium. RNAcentral's name for it is "partial 16S ribosomal RNA". It matches the Rfam family "Bacterial small subunit ribosomal RNA", at positions 28 to 507 of the family's 1533-position model. The record is from RNAcentral.
GACGAACGCUGGCGGCGUGCUUAACACAUGCAAGUCGAACGAUGAAGAAAAGAAUCGAAGCUUCGGCAGACAUUCAUUUCGGAUUAGUGGCAGACGGGUGAGUAACGCGUGAGCAACCUACCUCUUACCAAGGGAUAGCCUCGGGAAACCGGGCUUAAUACCAUAUAACAUUGUGACGAAGCAUUUCGAUGCAAUCAAAGCUACGGCGGUAAGAGAUGGGCUCGCGUCCCAUUAACCGGAUGGUGAGGUAACGGCUCACCAUAGUGACGAUGGGGAACCGGCGUGUGAGGGGGAACAGUCACACUGGGACUGAGACACGGUCCAGACGCCUACGAGAGGGAGCAGUGGGGAAUAUUGCACAAUGGAGGGAACUCUGAUGCAGCGACGCCGGGUGAAUGAUGAAGGGAUUGGUAUCGGAAAACUCUGUUCUAUGGGAAGAUAAGGACUGUACCAGAAGAGAAAGCUCCGGCUAACUACGUG